CUUAUUUUCAAUUCCAGAUCUGUUAUCAUGGAGCAGAAGUUACAUCAAAACUUUGGGAACACAUACUUCUUAUGAUCCAAUGUCCAUUUUUGGUUCUUUCUGCAAUGAUCAGCAACUCAGAGCAUCUUACUGAAUGGCUACAGUCAAUUAAAAAUUACUGGAGGAAACUUGCUAAAGUAGUACAAAACCCUGGCUCUUCUGCUUCAAAGACAAAUGACAAGAAAGCUGCGAAAGAGAGAAAUAAAUUCUACAGAGUAAGAUUAGUGUUGCAUAAGGAGCGGUACAAUGAUUUAGAAAAAUAUGUGUGUCUUGUAAAGGAAAAUUACUUCAUUAUCUAUCACUAUCACCCCUAUUCUGCGCUAACUGUAGAUCAG
Sceloporus undulatus (fence lizard) is the source of this 374-nucleotide long non-coding RNA. RefSeq lists it as uncharacterized. Lineage: Eukaryota; Metazoa; Chordata; Lepidosauria; Squamata; Phrynosomatidae. The transcript has 3 exons. The record is from RefSeq and is a predicted model, not a curated record.